RNAcentral lists this ribosomal RNA (254 nucleotides) under uncultured bacterium. RNAcentral describes it as "partial 16S ribosomal RNA". It matches the Rfam family "Bacterial small subunit ribosomal RNA", at positions 524 to 776 of the family's 1533-position model. The record is from RNAcentral.
UACAGAGGGGGCAAGCGUUAUUCGGAAUUAUUGGGCGUAAAGGGCGCGUAGGCGGCCAUUCAAGUGACGGGUGAAAGCCCUCGGCUUAACCGAGGAACUGCCUGUCAGACUGGAUGGCUUGAGACCGGGAGAGGUGAGUGGAAUUCCCAGUGUAGCGGUGAAAUGCGUAGAUAUUGGGGAGGAACACCAGUGGCGAAGGCGGCUCACUGGACCGGAACUGACGCUGAGGCGCGAAAGCGUGGGGAGCAAACAGG